UUUUUCUCUAAGCCCACCUCCUUCUCCUAUUUCCAUCCCCCCUUUCCAUCCUCUAUAAGCCUCCUCCUUCUCCUCCUCCAUCCCUGCCCUUCCCUCCCUCCUCCUCCUCCCCCAGUAGCAGCGACACCCUCGGUGCCCCGUUGCCGCAGCCCUCGCAGCCCGCGGCAGGAGCGGGAAUGGAGCCGGGCCAGGACUGGCUGCAUGGAGGAGGAGGCUGUGAGGAAGAGGAAGAUGCCCCGGGACAGCCAGGCAGACUCAUGAAACUUAUGUUGGUUUGAUGUGACCAAGAGAAGAGUUUUGCUCUGCUUUUAAUUCCAACAAGCAGCAGAGCUGAAACCUGUUGAGAAGAGUCUCUUCACUUUAUAGCUAAAGCAAACUGCCAGCGAUCUUUUUUCCAGCUCUGGGCAGGAAA
Long non-coding RNA from Vidua chalybeata, 412 nucleotides. RefSeq lists it as uncharacterized. The transcript is spliced from 3 exons. NCBI's taxonomy places the organism in Eukaryota, Metazoa, Chordata, Aves, Passeriformes, Viduidae. The record is from RefSeq and is a predicted model, not a curated record.